RNAcentral lists this ribosomal RNA (413 nucleotides) under uncultured prokaryote. RNAcentral describes it as "bacterial SSU rRNA". It matches the Rfam family "Bacterial small subunit ribosomal RNA", at positions 505 to 918 of the family's 1533-position model. The record is from RNAcentral.
GUGCCAGCCGCCGCGGUAAUACGGAGGAUGCAAGCGUUAUCCGGAAUCAUUGGGCGUAAAGAGUCCGUAGGUGGCACUUUAAGUCUGCUUUCAAAGACCGAAGCUCAACUUCGGAAAGGGAGUGGAAACUGAAGAGCUAGAGUAUAGUAGGGGUAGAGGGAAUUCCUAGUGUAGCGGUGAAAUGCGUAGAGAUUAGGAAGAACACCAGUGGCGAAGGCGCUCUACUGGGCAUAUACUGACACUGAGGGACGAAAGCUAGGGGAGCGAAAGGGAUUAGAUACCCCUGUAGUCCUAGCGGUAAACGAUGGAUACUAGGCGUAGUGCUGUUAGAAGGACUGUGCCGAAGCUAACGCGUUAAGUAUCCCGCCUGGGGAGUACGGCCGCAAGGUUAAAACUUAAAUGAAUUGACGGGG